Molecule: ribosomal RNA, 474 nt
Filed under: uncultured KB1 group bacterium
Lineage: Bacteria; Candidatus Calescibacteriota
Description: bacterial SSU rRNA
Rfam family: Bacterial small subunit ribosomal RNA
Source: RNAcentral
AAGCUUUGCUUGAGGAGCCGUGGCAGGUAUUGCAUGGCUGUCGUCAGCUCGUGUCGUGGGACGUUGGGUUAAGUCCCGUAACGAGCGCAACCCCUGCCCUUAGUUGCCAGCGGUACGGCCGGGGACUAUAAGGGGACUGCCGGAGAAUAUCCGGAGGAAGGAGGGGAUGACGUCAAGUCAUUAUGAUCCUUAUGCUCUGGGCGACACACGUGCUACAAUGGGCACUACAAUGAGGAGCGAUUCCGCAAGGAGGAGCAAAUCUCAAAAAGGUGCCCCCAGUGCGGAUUGGGGUCUGCAACCCGACCCCAUGAAGAUGGAAUCGGUAGUAAUCGCGGGUCAGCCAUACCGCGGUGAAUACGUACUUGGGCCUUGUACACACCGCCCGUCACACCAACCGAGUAGGCGACACCCGAAGUCGACGUAUGUUGCCGAAGGUGUUACCUGCAAGGGGGGUGAAGUCGUAACAAGGUAACC